RNAcentral lists this ribosomal RNA (412 nucleotides) under Trapelia glebulosa. Its description in RNAcentral is "eukaryotic LSU rRNA". It matches the Rfam family "Eukaryotic large subunit ribosomal RNA", at positions 23 to 435 of the family's 3401-position model. The record is from RNAcentral. Lineage: Eukaryota; Fungi; Ascomycota; Lecanoromycetes; Trapeliales; Trapeliaceae.
ACCCGCUGAACUUAAGCAUAUCAAUAAGCGGAGGACAAGAAACCAACAGGGAUUGCCUCAGUAACGGCGAGUGAAGCGGCAACAGCUCAAAUUUGAAAUCUGGCCUCGCGGUCCGAGUUGUAAUUUGCAGAGGACGUCUCGGGCGCGACGCCGGUCGAAGUUCCUUGGAACAGGACGUCACAGAGGGUGAGAAUCCCGUACGUGACCGGCGAUCAACCCCACGCGAGACCCCUUCGACGAGUCGAGUUGUUUGGGAAUGCAGCUCUAAAUGGGUGGUAAAUUUCAUCUAAAGCUAAAUACCGGCCAGAGACCGAUAGCGCACAAGUAGAGUGAUCGAAAGAUGAAAAGCACUUUGGAAAGAGAGUGAAACAGUACGUGAAAUUGUUGAAAGGGAAGCGCUGGCAACCAGACU